CCGGAUGAUCAAGGGUUCCAGGGUCAAGCUAAUCUGCCCUGGGUCAGUCGGGACCUAAGUCGAGGCCGAUAGGCGUAGACGAUGGACAACGGGUUGAUAUUCCCGUACUGACGAAGAACCGCCCAAACCAAUCCAGUAAUGCUAAGUAUCUGAAUCCCCUAGACCAAUCCCUUCGGGGUGAGGCGUGGGGCCUAGCGUACGACCCUAUUCUGGUGCGGUUAGCGUAUUAACAGGUGUGACGCAGGAAGGUAGCUGAGCCGGGCGAUGGUUGUCCCGGUCUAAGAAUGUAGGCCGAGAGAUAGGCAAAUCCGUCUCUCAUUACGGCUGAGACUCGAUGGGUAGUCCUCACGGACGAAAUCAGUGAUCCUAUGCUGCCAAGAAAAGCAUCGACGCGAGGUUCAAGUUACCCGUACCCCAAACCGACUCAGGUGAUCAGGUAGAGAAUACUAAGGAGAUCGAGAGAAUCGUGGUUAAGGAACUCGGCAAAAUGCCCCCGUAACUUCGGGAGAAGGGGGGCCUAAGGCGUGAACGGACUUGCUCCGGGAGCGCUGCAGGGCCGCAGAGACCAGUGGGAAGCGACUGUUUACUAAAAACACAGGUCCGUGCUAAGUCGCAAGACGAUGUAUACGGACUGACGCCUGCCCGGUGCUGGAAGGUUAAGAGGAACGGUUAGCCGUAAGGCGAAGCUGUGAAUUUAAGCCCCAGUAAACGGCGGUGGUAACUAUAACCAUCCUAAGGUAGCGAAAUUCCUUGUCGGGUAAGUUCCGACCUGCACGAAUGGCGUAACGACUUCCCCGCUGUCUCAACCAGGGACUCAGUGAAAGCGAAUUAGCGGUGAAGA
Molecule: ribosomal RNA, 841 nt
Filed under: Lujinxingia vulgaris
Lineage: Bacteria; Deltaproteobacteria; Bradymonadales; Lujinxingiaceae
Description: Bradymonadales bacterium TMQ4 partial 23S ribosomal RNA
Rfam family: Bacterial large subunit ribosomal RNA
Source: RNAcentral